This 453-nucleotide ribosomal RNA is filed under the name uncultured Porphyromonadaceae bacterium. RNAcentral describes it as "partial 16S ribosomal RNA". It matches the Rfam family "Bacterial small subunit ribosomal RNA", at positions 341 to 792 of the family's 1533-position model. The record is from RNAcentral. Lineage: Bacteria; Pseudomonadati; Bacteroidota; Bacteroidia; Bacteroidales; Porphyromonadaceae.
ACGGGAGGCAGCAGUGAGGAAUAUUGGUCAAUGGGCGGAAGCCUGAACCAGCCAAGUCGCGUGAAGGAUGAAGGUAUUAUGUAUUGUAAACUUCUUUAGACGUAGAGAAAUAAGGCGCUCGUGAGCGCUGAUGCUAGUAUACGUAGAAUAAGGAUCGGCUAACUCCGUGCCAGCAGCCGCGGUAAUACGGAGGGUCCGAGCGUUAUCCGGAUUUAUUGGGUUUAAAGGGUGCGCAGGCGGCGUGUUAAGUCAGCGGUAAAGUAGUGAGGCCAAACCUCGACCCGCCGUUGAUACUGGUACGCUUGAUUUCGGUAGAGGUUAGCGGAAUUCGCCGUGUAGCGGUGAAAUGCAUAGAUAUGGCGAAGAACUCCGAUUGCGUAGGCAGCUGACCAAGCCGAUAAUGACGCUCAUGCACGAAAGUGCGGGGAUCGAACAGGAUUAGAUACCCUGGUA